AGGAGGAACAACCACAGUGGUGGGGCCAGCUCCAGAAACCUGGAUUCAGCUCCCACAAUAACUACGGAGCUCUCCAUCUGCAGAGGCCUGGAUGCUCCGGGGGCAA
Molecule: microRNA precursor, 106 nt
Filed under: Canis lupus familiaris (dog)
Lineage: Eukaryota; Metazoa; Chordata; Mammalia; Carnivora; Canidae
Description: mir-8834 microRNA precursor family
Rfam family: mir-8834 microRNA precursor family
Source: Rfam by way of RNAcentral